GACAUAGGUGGCGAACGUUAUCCGGAAUUAUUGGGCGUAAAGCGUCCGCAGGUGGCCAUGUAAGUCUGCUGUUAAAGAGCAAGGCUCAACCUUGUAAAGGCAGUGGAAACUACACGGCUAGAGUGCGUUCGGGGCAGAGGGAAUUCCUGGUGUAGCGGUGAAAUGCGUAGAGAUGUGGAGGAACACCGAUGGCGAAGGCAGCCCCCUGGGUCAACACUGACGCUCAUGCACGAAAGCGUGGGGAGCAAACAGG
Molecule: ribosomal RNA, 253 nt
Filed under: uncultured bacterium
Lineage: Bacteria
Description: partial 16S ribosomal RNA
Rfam family: Bacterial small subunit ribosomal RNA
Source: RNAcentral